CGCAGCCGCGGUAAUUCCAGCUCCAAUAGCGUAUAUUAAAGUUGUUGCAGUUAAAAAGCUCGUAGUUGAAUUUCGGGGUUCUACCGUCGGUCGGGCUAACAAGUCUGUACUGGUGUGUAGAAUUUCUACCUUCUGGGGAACUAUCAUGUUAUUAAUUUAGCGUGGUGGGAAACCAGGACCUUUACCUUGAAAAAAUUAGAGUGUUCAAAGCAGGCUUACGUCUGAAUACAUUAGCAUGGAAUAAUAGGGUAGGACGGUGGUCCUGUUUUGUUGGUUUCUGAAUCACCGUAAUGAUUAAUAGGGAUAGUUGGGGGCAUUAGUAUUCAAUUGUCAGAGGUGAAAUUCUUGGAUUUAUUGAAGACUAACUUCUGCGAAAGCAUUUGCCAAGGAUGUUUUCAUUAAUCAAGAACGAAAGUUAGGGGAUCGAAGACGAUCAGAUACCGUCGUAGUCUUAACCAUAAACUAUGCCGACUAGGGAUCGGACGAUGUUAACCUUUAUUGACUCGUUCGGCGCCUUACG
Molecule: ribosomal RNA, 520 nt
Filed under: uncultured Scutellospora
Lineage: Eukaryota; Fungi; Glomeromycota; Glomeromycetes; Diversisporales; Gigasporaceae
Description: SSU rRNA
Rfam family: Eukaryotic small subunit ribosomal RNA
Source: RNAcentral